RNAcentral lists this ribosomal RNA (1000 nucleotides) under uncultured bacterium. Its description in RNAcentral is "bacterial SSU rRNA". It matches the Rfam family "Bacterial small subunit ribosomal RNA", at positions 504 to 1503 of the family's 1533-position model. The record is from RNAcentral.
UGUGCCAGCAGCCGCGGUAAUACAGAGGGUGCAAGCGUUAAUCGGAAUUACUGGGCGUAAAGCGAGCGUAGGUGGCUUGAUAAGUCAGAUGUGAAAGCCCCGGGCUUAACCUGGGAACGGCAUCUGAUACUGUUAGGCUAGAGUAGGUGAGAGGAAGGUAGAAUUCCAGGUGUAGCGGUGAAAUGCGUAGAGAUCUGGAGGAAUACCGAUGGCGAAGGCAGCCUUCUGGCAUCAUACUGACACUGAGGUUCGAAAGCGUGGGUAGCAAACAGGAUUAGAUACCCUGGUAGUCCACGCCGUAAACGAUGUCUACUAGUCGUUGGGUCCCGUGAGGACUUAGUGACGCAGCUAACGCAAUAAGUAGACCGCCUGGGGAGUACGGCCGCAAGGUUAAAACUCAAAUGAAUUGACGGGGGCCCGCACAAGCGGUGGAGCAUGUGGUUUAAUUCGAUGCAACGCGAAGAACCUUACCUGGUCUUGACAUAUCUAGAAUCCUGCAGAGAUGCGGGAGUGCCUUCGGGAAUUAGAAUACAGGUGCUGCAUGGCUGUCGUCAGCUCGUGUCGUGAGAUGUUGGGUUAAGUCCCGCAACGAGCGCAACCCUCGUCCUUAGUUACCAGCGGUUUGGCCGGGAACUCUAAGGAUACUGCCAGUGACAAACUGGAGGAAGGCGGGGACGACGUCAAGUCAUCAUGGCCCUUACGACCAGGGCUACACACGUGCUACAAUGGUAGGUACAGAGGGCAGCUACACAGCGAUGUGAUGCGAAUCUCAAAAAGCCUAUCGUAGUCCAGAUUGGAGUCUGCAACUCGACUCCAUGAAGUAGGAAUCGCUAGUAAUCGCGGAUCAGAAUGCCGCGGUGAAUACGUUCCCGGGCCUUGUACACACCGCCCGUCACACCAUGGGAGUUGAUUGCACCAGAAGUGGUUAGCCUAACCUUUUAGGAAGGCGAUCACCACGGUGUGGUUGAUGACUGGGGUGAAGUCGUAACAAGGUAACCGA